UCCCCGCCUUGAUGGAAUGUGAAUCGUAA
Molecule: non-coding RNA, 29 nt
Filed under: Mus musculus (house mouse)
Lineage: Eukaryota; Metazoa; Chordata; Mammalia; Rodentia; Muridae
Source: RNAcentral